RNAcentral lists this transfer RNA (74 nucleotides) under Pseudomonadota bacterium. RNAcentral describes it as "tRNA-Gln". It matches the Rfam family "tRNA". Rfam says of the family: Transfer RNA (tRNA) molecules are approximately 80 nucleotides in length. Their secondary structure includes four short double-helical elements and three loops (D, anti-codon, and T loops). Further hydrogen bonds mediate the characteristic L-shaped molecular structure. tRNAs have two regions of fundamental functional importance: the anti-codon, which is responsible for specific mRNA codon recognition, and the 3' end, to which the tRNAs corresponding amino acid is attached (by aminoacyl-tRNA synthetases). tRNAs cope with the degeneracy of the genetic code in two manners: having more than one tRNA (with a specific anti-codon) for a particular amino acid; and 'wobble' base-pairing, i.e. permitting non-standard base-pairing at the 3rd anti-codon position. Lineage: Bacteria; Pseudomonadati; Pseudomonadota. RNAcentral also lists the same sequence under 1 other name. The record is from RNAcentral.
UGCGGAGUGGUGUAACGGUAGCACAGGGGACUUUGGAUCCCUUGGUCCAGGUUCGAAUCCUGGCUCCGCAACCA